CAGGAUGAACGCUAGCGACAGGCUUAACACAUGCAAGUCGAGGGGCAGCAUAAAAGUAGCAAUACUUGGUGGCGACCGGCGCACGGGUGAGUAACGCGUAUGCAACCUACCUAUCAGAGGGGAAUAACCCGGCGAAAGUCGGACUAAUACCGCAUAAAACAGGGACACCGCAUGGUGAUAUUUGUUAAAGAAAUUCGCUGAUAGAUGGGCAUGCGUUCCAUUAGGUAGUUGGUGAGGUAACGGCUCACCAAGCCGACGAUGGAUAGGGGAACUGAGAGGUUGGUCCCCCACACUGGUACUGAGACACGGACCAGACUCCUACGGGAGGCAGCAGUGAGGAAUAUUGGUCAAUGGGCGAGAGCCUGAACCAGCCAAGUCGCGUGAAGGAAGAAGGAUCUAUGGUUCGUAAACUUCUUUUGCAGGGGAAUAAAGUGCAGGACGUGUCCUGUUUUGUAUGUACCCUGAGAAUAAGGAUCGGCUAACUCCGUGCCAGCCGCGGC
This 500-nucleotide ribosomal RNA is filed under the name uncultured bacterium. RNAcentral describes it as "bacterial SSU rRNA". It matches the Rfam family "Bacterial small subunit ribosomal RNA", at positions 25 to 518 of the family's 1533-position model. The record is from RNAcentral.